RNAcentral lists this ribosomal RNA (643 nucleotides) under uncultured bacterium. RNAcentral describes it as "bacterial SSU rRNA". It matches the Rfam family "Bacterial small subunit ribosomal RNA", at positions 848 to 1498 of the family's 1533-position model. The record is from RNAcentral.
UAAGGGAAACCGAUAAGUGAUCCACCUGGGGAGUACGAUCGCAAGGUUGAAACUCAAAGGAAUUGACGGGGGCCCGCACAAGCGGAGGAGCAUGUGGUUUAAUUCGAUGAUACGCGAGGAACCUUACCUAGACUUAAAUGUAGAUUGCAUAGAGUAGAAAUAUUCUUUUCCUUCGGGACUAUUUACAAGGUGCUGCAUGGUUGUCGUCAGCUCGUGCCGUGAGGUGUCGGGUUAAGUCCCAUAACGAGCGCAACCCCUAUUCUUAGUUGCCAGCGGGUCAUGCCGGGGACUCUAGGAAAACUGCCAGCGUAAGCUGUGAGGAAGGUGGGGAUGACGUCAAAUCAGCACGGCCCUUACGUCUAGGGCUACACACGUGCUACAAUGGCCGGUACAGAGGGCAGCUACCACGCGAGUGGAUGCGAAUCUCCAAAGCCGGUCUCAGUUCGGAUCGAAGUCUGCAACUCGACUUCGUGAAGUUGGAUUCGCUAGUAAUCGUAUAUCAGCAACGAUACGGUGAAUACGUUCCCGGGCCUUGUACACACCGCCCGUCAAACAAUGGAAGCUGGGGGUACCUAAAGUCUGUGAUCCGUAAGGAAGCGGCCUAGGGUAAAACUAGUAACUGGUGUUAAGUCGUAACAAGGUA